CGUAGGGCGAAGCGUUAUCCGGAUUUACUGGGUGUAAAGGGAGCGUAGACGGAUGGACAAGUCUGAUGUGAAAGGCUGGGGCUCAACCCCGGGACUGCAUUGGAAACUGCCCGUCUUGAGUGCCGGAGAGGUAAGCGGAAUUCCUAGUGUAGCGGUGAAAUGCGUAGAUAUUAGGAGGAACACCAGUGGCGAAGGCGGCUUACUGGACGGUAACUGACGUUGAGGCUCGAAAGCGUGGGGAGCAAAACAGGAUU
RNAcentral lists this ribosomal RNA (254 nucleotides) under uncultured bacterium. RNAcentral's name for it is "partial 16S ribosomal RNA". It matches the Rfam family "Bacterial small subunit ribosomal RNA", at positions 526 to 779 of the family's 1533-position model. The record is from RNAcentral.